UUUUGACCUCGGAUCAGGUAGGGAUACCCGCUGAACUUAAGCAUAUCAAUAAGC
Molecule: ribosomal RNA, 54 nt
Filed under: Paraphoma chrysanthemicola
Lineage: Eukaryota; Fungi; Ascomycota; Dothideomycetes; Pleosporales; Phaeosphaeriaceae
Also listed under: 3 other names
Description: partial 28S ribosomal RNA
Source: RNAcentral